GAUGAACGCUGGCGGCGUGCCUAAUACAUGCAAGUCGAGCGAACAGACGAGGAGCUUGCUCCUCUGACGUUAGCGGCGGACGGGUGAGUAACACGUGGAUAACCUACCUAUAAGACUGGGAUAACUUCGGGAAACCGGAGCUAAGACCGGAUAAUAUAUUGAACCGCAUGGUUCAAUAGUGAAAGACGGUUUUGCUGUCACUGAUAGAUGGAUCCGCGCCGCAUUAGCUAGUUGGUAAGGUAACGGCUUCCCAAGGCAACGAUGCGUAGCCGACCUGAGAGGGUGAUCGGCCACACUGGAACUGAGACACGGUCCAGACUCCUACGGGAGGCACCAGUAGGGAAUCUUCCGCAAUGGGCGAAAGCCUGACGGAGCAACGCCGCGUGAGUGAUGAAGGUCUUCGGAUCGUAAAACUCUGUUAUUAGGGAAGAACAAAUGUGUAAGUAACUAUGCACGUCUUGACGGUACCUAAUCAGAAAGCCACGGCUAACUACGUG
RNAcentral lists this ribosomal RNA (497 nucleotides) under uncultured bacterium. RNAcentral's name for it is "partial 16S ribosomal RNA". It matches the Rfam family "Bacterial small subunit ribosomal RNA", at positions 28 to 507 of the family's 1533-position model. The record is from RNAcentral.